Gasterosteus aculeatus aculeatus (three-spined stickleback) is the source of this 1619-nucleotide long non-coding RNA. Lineage: Eukaryota; Metazoa; Chordata; Actinopteri; Perciformes; Gasterosteidae. The record is from Ensembl.
CGGAGAAGACGGAAGGAACAGAGAUGUCAUUAUUUACGCCAGAUUAUAGACCCACACACACACACAGAGACACAAGUUGAUUAAGGGCGCUACCCGGAGACGGGCUCCAAGGACCCAACGGGAGGGCCGGGCACGCGCCCCCCACCGGAACAACGACGGGUGGCAUCACGUCAAACCUCGACGGAAAAGGAAAAGAAAAGGUUCGACUCACAGCGUCGUUCAGGUGUACAAAGGACCGACGGAAGGAAGAAACACUUGAGCGGGAUGAAAGAAACAGAGGAAAACGGGGCCAUUUGGGAUGAAAAAAGUAUUUGAAUAAUAAAAGAAACAACUCAAAACUACGAACUGUAAAGGAAGCAAGUUGGUGGCUGUGAAGCGUGAAAUGCUCCUUGCUGUUUUUGCUCCCUUAGAUGGUAAACGGGCUGUGCUGUUCAUUAUUUGGUCUUUUCCCGGCUAUUGAAUUUUUCAGAAUGUACUCAAAUUUUAUAUUCCAAUGUAUUCCAACAUAUUCUGCCACAAAUCCAUCCUCGGGGCAUAAUAAAACUCCAACAAGGCCCCUUGUCUCGGUUGUCCAGCCCUCUCUUGCUUUGGCUUCAAGUAAACUGAUUUUUAAAUUCUCAAAAUAUUCUCCGCCCACAGUUGGUGUCUGCAGCAUGAAUUUCACCUCCCGGGAUUUAAUGCUCAUUGAUAGCGACACAUACUUCCUAAAAUGCUUCAUGUGUACCGACUCCUAUUUUUCUCAAGCACUCGUUACUGAAGAUCCGUCUGGGAGAGUUUAGUUCUUCAGUGGCCACCAGGAGACCAGUGUCCUGUCCUGUGUUGACCUAAAAGUGACCUUUUAUUACCAAAAAACAGGAUUGUUUAAUGAAACUGGUCAUGUUUUAUUAGGUUAUGGAUAUAUGUUUGUGUCAGUCUAUCUCUAAAAUAUCUGUCUCAAUCUGUGCCUCUCUAUAUAUUUGCGUUUCUAUAUAUUCAUCCUCUGUUUAUCUAUCUCUAUCUAUCUCUAUUCUUGGUGCAAAUGACUGUAGAGCCAAGAAUAUUCUAUUAAAAUCGCUGUCAAUCAACGUGAAGAUGGCAGAGAUAUAAAACUAAACUCCACAAUCAAACUUUGAGUUGCAUUACAUUGUUGCGUGCAGGUCACGGUCCGGUGAUGUCACCCGCAAUAAAACCGCUGUGCAACCUCGAGGAGUCGUGACCUUCUGCCGCCGACGCUUGGAGGUCACACGACUUCAACACCAUCGCGUGUACAAAAGAUAAGACACAAAGAGGAGCGGCUACAGUGUAUAAUGUGUUUGGCGCCUUUAUGAUGCUUUUUUACCAUUUCAAAAGAGACGUCUUCGUCUUCGUGAGCGGGAGGCGUGACCUGCAGUAAGAUCCACCACACCACCGUUCCUUUCACCCGAUGUGUUUCCACAGACUCAUGGAGAAAUGUUGGACUUUGCAAGUGUGGUGUUUUAAACUGAUGUUCCAAAGUCAUUUCAAUGUACGUGAAUGACAAUGACCAAUAAUUGUAAACCAACCUGAAGAAGUUUGAACUAUUUAUUUAUUAGCCGAGUGCUAAUUGGACAGUGGUUGUAUUUGCACUUUUACAUUCAAAGCACCGGUUUUCAUGUGUGUGU